Molecule: ribosomal RNA, 484 nt
Filed under: uncultured bacterium
Lineage: Bacteria
Description: partial 16S ribosomal RNA
Rfam family: Bacterial small subunit ribosomal RNA
Source: RNAcentral
GAUUAACGCUAGCGGCAGGCAUAAUACAUGCAAGUUGAACGGCAGCACAGGUAGCACUACUGGGUGGCGAGUGGCGCACGGGUGCGUAACACGUAUGCAACCUACCCUAUACAGGCGAAUAACCUUUAGAAAUGAGGGCUAAUACGCCGUAGUAUUACAGAUGGGCAUCUAUUUGUAAUUAAAGAUUUAUCGGUAUAGGAUGGGCAUGCGUCCCAUUAGUUAGUUGGUAAGGUAACGGCUUACCAGGACGAUGAUGGGUAGGGGAUCUGAGAGGACUUACCCCCACACUGGUACUGAGACACGGACCAGACUCCUACGGGAGGCAGCAGUAAGGAAUAUUGGGCAAUGGCCGCGAGGCUGACCCAGCCAUGCCGCGUGCAGGAAGACGGCCUUAUGGGUUGUAAACUGCUUUUAUACGGGAAUAAUAGAGUGUACGCGUACAUUUAUGCAAGUAUCGUAUGAAUAAGCAUCGGCUAACUCCGUG